This 348-nucleotide unclassified non-coding RNA is filed under the name soil metagenome. Its description in RNAcentral is "partial contains 5.8S ribosomal RNA, internal transcribed spacer 2, and large subunit ribosomal RNA". The stretch from base 1 to 120 matches the Rfam family "5.8S ribosomal RNA", at positions 35 to 154 of the family's 154-position model. The record is from RNAcentral.
GAUGAAGAACGCAGCGAAAUGCGAUAAGUAAUGUGAAUUGCAGAAUUCAGUGAAUCAUCGAAUCUUUGAAUGCACAUUGCGCCCGCCAGUAUUCUGGCGGGCAUGCCUGUCUGAGCGUCAUUUCAACCCUCAUGCCCCUAGGGCGUGGUGUUGGGGAUCGGCCAAAGCCCGCGAGGGACGGCCGGCCCCUAAAUCUAGUGGCGGACCCGUCGUGGCCUCCUCUGCGAAGUAGUGAUAUUCCGCAUCGGAGAGCGACGAGCCCCUGCCGUUAAACCCCCAACUUUCCAAGGUUGACCUCAGAUCAGGUAGGAAUACCCGCUGAACUUAAGCAUAUCAAUAAGCGGAGGA